UACAGAGGUCUCAAGCGUUGUUCGGAUUUACUGGGCGUAAAGGGCGCGUAGGCGGCGCAACAAGUCACUUGUGAAAUCUUCAGGCUUAACCUGAAGCGGCCAAGUGAUACUGUCGUGCUAGAGUGCGGAAGGGGCAACUGGAAUUCUUGGUGUAGCGGUGAAAUGCGUAGAUAUCAAGAGGAACACCUGCGGCGAAGGCGGGUUGCUGGGCCGACACUGACGCUGAGGCGCGAAAGCUAGGGGAGCGAACGGG
This 253-nucleotide ribosomal RNA is filed under the name uncultured bacterium. RNAcentral's name for it is "partial 16S ribosomal RNA". It matches the Rfam family "Bacterial small subunit ribosomal RNA", at positions 524 to 776 of the family's 1533-position model. The record is from RNAcentral.